Molecule: ribosomal RNA, 702 nt
Filed under: Mucochytrium quahogii
Lineage: Eukaryota; Bigyra; Thraustochytrida; Thraustochytriidae
Description: labyrinthulid quahog parasite QPX partial Eukaryotic large subunit ribosomal RNA
Rfam family: Eukaryotic large subunit ribosomal RNA
Source: RNAcentral
GAUUACCCGCUGAACUUAAGCAUAUCAAUAAGCGGAGGAAAAGAAACUAACAAGGAUUCCCCUAGUAGCGGCGAGCGAAGCGGGAAGAGCUCAAAUUUAUAAUCUGGCACCUUCGGUGUCCGAGUUGUAAUCUCUAGAAGUGUUUUCCGCGUUGGACCGCACACAAGUCUGUUGGAAUACAGCGGCACAGUGGUGAUACCCCCGUACACGGUGCGGACGCCCAGCGCUUUGUGAUACACUUUCAAUGAGUCGAGUUGUUUGGGAAUGCAGCUCAAAUUGGGUGGUAAAUUCCAUCUAAAGCUAAAUAUUGGCGAGAGACCGAUAGCGAACAAGUACCGUGAGGGAAAGAUGAAAAGCACUUUGGAAAGAGAGUUAACAGUACGUGAAAUUGUUGGAAGGGAAACGCUUGAAGUCAGACUUGCUGUUCGGAGUUCAGCCGCAAGGUGUACUCUCCGAGUUGCAGGCCAGCAUCAGUUUUUCGGGGUGGAAAAUCACGGUUUGAAGGUAGCAGUUUCGGCUGUGUUAUAGCUUUCCGUUGGAUACAUCCUGGGGGACUGAGGAACGCAGUGUGCUUUUAGCAGGGGUUUCGACCUCUUCACACUUAGGAUGCUGGUGGAAUGGCUUUAAACGACCCGUCUUGUAACACGGACCAAGGAGUCUAGCAUAUCUGCAAGUGUUUGGGUGUUAAAAACCCGAGCGCGU